GUUAUUCAGGGGAACGCUUUCGAUUUUUAUUGUGGGUAGCCUGCACAAAGACCGUGUUAUUGUAUUUAAAAGAACCAUCUGUAGCAGAAACAAUGGCAUCAAAUUAUCUUUGAAUACCCACUGAAAAAAACAUAAAGCUUUUUUUUUUUAUUCUUCUUCUGUACGGUGGGGGGAUAGAGCAGUGUUAGGAUAACUGACUUUUUUGUUGUUCUCUGGGUGCAUUCUUCUCGCUCCCCCUCUCUCCCCCUCACCCUCUCUCUUCUCUCUCUCUCUCUCUCUCUCUCUCUCUCUCUCUCUCUCCCUCUCUCUCUCUCUUUUAAAAAAUCAGCCAUUUGGGGUUUUAAGCCAUAAACGAUUUUUCUUGUUGCAGGGGAUUGCAGUGGCAAAGCUAGGCUAGGUCUUGGAAGCUGGUGUAAGGCGAUGCCGUGAAGGCAGGAGGCUGAUGGAGAGACUGGGGGGAAGAAAAGCAGAAAUGGAUUCACGGUGCCUUGGAUGGAGGACGAGAGGGGAACUGCAGGCUCCUUCCACUCGUUCUGUCCGGUGAGAAGUGAUCAAGCUUGGACUGACAAGAGGCUCAGGGAACCCUCACGUUCUUUUGCUUUUUUACCUGCCAAUCAAACUGCUACAAGACAACACCCUGAUCUGGCAUGGACAUGUCCAGUCCAUGUUUACCUUCAUAUUACCCCUCGAUUAAGCGGAAAGGACUGCUUUAUUUUGAAGAGUGCCGAGUAUAUGUGUUUUAAGAAGGCCAGUCUCAUCCUUUCCGGGUUCCCAGGGACUGAAGCAAACCAGAACUUAAGAGAAAAGAGGAGGAGAACCUUCAGGGGGCGGCAGGGUUGAUGGGAAAUAAUAACUUGCGAAGAAAAGUCUGCAGGAUUCUUUUUUCACAACUUUUCUGGGUUUCCACUGGCCAUACCUGGCUCGAGUUUGACAGUAACAGACAGGCUCGGGAGGGCAGAGAUUGGAGAAGGGGGAGGGCGGUUAUGGGAAGAAGGUUGGUAAGGAACAAAACAAUGCCCAGUUUUGUAAAGAUAAUAAAUGGAACGUGGCUGGUAGAUACUA
Molecule: long non-coding RNA, 1062 nt
Organism: Carlito syrichta (Philippine tarsier)
Lineage: Eukaryota; Metazoa; Chordata; Mammalia; Primates; Tarsiidae
Exons: 2
Source: RefSeq, a predicted model, not a curated record